CGAACGGGUGAGUAACGCGUGAGUAACCUGCCCUGGAGUGGGGGGACGAACAGUUGGAAACGACUGCUAAUACCGCAUAAGCCCACGGAUCCGCAUGGAUCUGCGGGAAAAGGAUUUAUUCGCUUCAGGAUGGACUCGCGUCCAAUUAGCUAGUUGGUGAGGUAACGGCCCACCAAGGCGACGAUUGGUAGCCGGACUGAGAGGUUGAACGGCCACAUUGGGACUGAGACACGGCCCAGACUCCUACGGGAGGCAGCAUG
Molecule: ribosomal RNA, 260 nt
Filed under: uncultured bacterium
Lineage: Bacteria
Description: partial 16S ribosomal RNA
Rfam family: Bacterial small subunit ribosomal RNA
Source: RNAcentral